GGCCGCGUGGCCUAAUGGCUAAGGCGCUAGAUUUCGGUUCACCGACUUCAAAGUUCUCUAGAGAUUCCAGUUUCGAAUACUGGCGUGGUCG
Neonectria punicea is the source of this 91-nucleotide non-coding RNA. NCBI's taxonomy places the organism in Eukaryota, Fungi, Ascomycota, Sordariomycetes, Hypocreales, Nectriaceae. The record is from the annotation of a GenBank genome assembly.